This 458-nucleotide ribosomal RNA is filed under the name uncultured bacterium. RNAcentral's name for it is "partial 16S ribosomal RNA". It matches the Rfam family "Bacterial small subunit ribosomal RNA", at positions 338 to 795 of the family's 1533-position model. The record is from RNAcentral.
CCUACGGGAGGCAGCAGUGAGGAAUAUUGGUCAAUGGGCGAGAGCCUGAACCAGCCAAGUCGCGUGAGGGAGUACUGCCCUAUGGGUUGUAAACCUCUUUUGUCGGGGAGCAAAAGCCGGACGUGUCCGGCUGUGAGAGUACCCGAAGAAAAAGCAUCGGCUAACUCCGUGCCAGCAGCCGCGGUAAUACGGAGGAUGCGAGCGUUAUCCGGAUUUAUUGGGUUUAAAGGUUGCGCAGGCGGAUUUUUAAGUCAGCGGUAAAAUCGUGGGGCUCAACCCCAUCCAGCCGUUGAAACUGGGGAUCUAGAGUGUGCGAGAGGUAUGCGGAAUGCGUGGUGUAGCGGUGAAAUGCAUAGAUAUCACGCAGAACCCCGAUUGCGAAGGCAGCAUACCGGUGCACAACUGACGCUCAGGCACGAAAGCGUGGGUAUCGAACAGGAUUAGAUACCCUUGUAGUC